CUUUUAAACUCUCUGGUCUCUCUCUCUCUCCCCCUCCCUCUCUCUUUCUCUCAGAGUUUUCUUCUCUGUUUUGAAUCUGGAAUUUUUCCAGAGUGUUAAUCACAGAGAAGUUCUUGUAAACUAGUCUUGCUACAGUAAUUGAUCGGCCUAAAAUAUUGGCUAUCUAUUGUAGGUAGUUUUUGAUAGUUUGAGAAAAGAAGGUUGUGUCCAAUUUGGAGAUCCUUUGUGAAUCGAUAAACGAACUGAUUGUACUAAGUUGUUCUCUGUAUUUUGCUCUCUCUAGAAGGUAGUUUGUACAUAAUGGAUUAGGUUUAUCCUAAGCUCCUAGAUUAAGCCAUUUUCGAGUGAACUGGGUGAACAUUUUGUUGUGUUCUUUACAUUUUCGUACCGUAUGUUUGUUUUUGGUUGAUAUCAUUUAUGGUCGUUGGGUAAUAAUACCCAACAAAUCUAGUAUCAGAGCCAGUUCUCGAGGCUUCUCGGUAAAACAUCUUUGUUCUGAGAAUAAUCUUUUGAAUUGAUCAAAGAUUUGUAAAAUCCCAGAUUUUUUUGAAGUUCUAG
This 558-nucleotide long non-coding RNA is filed under the name Olea europaea subsp. europaea. Lineage: Eukaryota; Viridiplantae; Streptophyta; Magnoliopsida; Lamiales; Oleaceae. The record is from RNAcentral.